AGUGAACGCUGGCGGUAGGCCUAACACAUGCAAGUCGAACGGCAGCACAGUAAGAGCUUGCUCUUACGGGUGGCGAGUGGCGGACGGGUGAGGAAUAAAUCGGAAUCUACUUUUUCGUGGGGGAUAACGUAGGGAAACUUACGCUAAUACCGCAUACGACCUACGGGUGAAAGCAGGGGAUCUUCGGACCUUGCGCGAUUGAAUGAGCCGAUGUCGGAUUAGCUAGUUGGCGGGGUAAAGGCCCACCAAGGCGACGAUCCGUAGCUGGUCUGAGAGGAUGAUCAGCCACACUGGAACUGAGACACGGUACAGACUCCUACGGGAGGCAGCAGUGGGGAAUAUUGGACAAUGGGCGCAAGCCUGAUCCAGCCAUACCGCGUGGGUGAAGAAGGCCUUCGGGUUGUAAAGCCCUUUUGUUGGGAAAGAAAAGCAGCAGGUUAAUACCCCGCUGUUCUGACGGUACCCAAAGAAUAAGCACCGGCUAACUUAGUG
This 492-nucleotide ribosomal RNA is filed under the name uncultured bacterium. Its description in RNAcentral is "partial 16S ribosomal RNA". It matches the Rfam family "Bacterial small subunit ribosomal RNA", at positions 29 to 507 of the family's 1533-position model. The record is from RNAcentral.